RNAcentral lists this ribosomal RNA (253 nucleotides) under uncultured bacterium. RNAcentral describes it as "partial 16S ribosomal RNA". It matches the Rfam family "Bacterial small subunit ribosomal RNA", at positions 524 to 776 of the family's 1533-position model. The record is from RNAcentral.
UACGUAGGGUGCAAGCGUUGUCCGGAAUUAUUGGGCGUAAAGAGCUCGUAGGCGGUUUGUCGCGUCUGCUGUGAAAACUCGGGGCUUAACUCCGGGCCUGCAGUGGGUACGGGCAGACUAGAGUGCGGUGGGGGAGACUGGAAUUCCUGGUGUAGCGGUGAAAUGCGCAGAUAUCAGGAGGAACACCGGUGGCGAAGGCGGGUCUCUGGGCCGUAACUGACGCUGAGGAGCGAAAGCAUGGGGAGCGAACAGG